RNAcentral lists this ribosomal RNA (423 nucleotides) under Triticum aestivum (bread wheat). RNAcentral's name for it is "partial small subunit ribosomal RNA". Lineage: Eukaryota; Viridiplantae; Streptophyta; Magnoliopsida; Poales; Poaceae. The record is from RNAcentral.
AUGACACUUGAAGAUAUGGACGCUGCAAAUCUGCGCCGACCUCCUCUACGUGAUAUCUCUAAUGUUGACCAUCAUUCUCAUAUGUCUCCAGUGCCAGUAGUGAGCUCGGAAAACUUAACUCCGUUUGGAUCCCGAUGGGAACGGAUAAAUCUUGCUAAACAACUACGAGCGCGCAAGAGAACUGGGCAGAUGGACGCGAGAAAUGACCAAAGUCGGCAUCUUCAUGACAUCACUAAUAUUGAUCAACUCUCCAAAGGGAGUCCAGGGAUUGUUCAACAAGAUCAUGGCCCACAUAGAUCAACUGGCCUAUUCAUACAUGAAGCAACAAUCCCUUCUACCACCAACAUGACACCCUUAAAUGAUGCCAGCAUUUGUACCCUGAUAAAUCUCACAGAUUCUUCGAGGGGUAAAUCAGAUAACUAA